ACCUAUGUUUGCAGUAAAUGUCGAGUGUGACAUUAUUAAGUAUGUUCCUCCAGUUUUUGUAAUAUUUUUUGUGAAAAAAAGGCGAAAAAAAGCAAAAAUGUCUACAAGAGCCAAAUACAUAUUAACUUUAGCACGUAGCCAGUUGACGGAGAAUAAAGUUUCAGAUAUAGAGACAGUCAAUGAUGAUGAUGACAAUUGACAUGUCGUCACCUGAUAAUGAGAUAAAUACUCGCAUAAAAUAUACGACGGAAGGAAAGAAUAAAGCGGAACAACCUACAAAAAGUUCUUUUUUUACUUCAUGUGAUGAUACUACUUUGGCAUUUCAAGAAUUUACUGUUGGAAAUGAAAGUUUAAACGUUGAAAAUAUUGAGCCGGUUCCGGGCACUUCAAAACAGCAUUUAUAUGACUUAAAUUCAGACUUUGAGCGGCAUAUUCUCCUGAACACUCGGAAUAUAAUCCAGAGUCUGAAAAUUCUUCUAGCAGUGAUUUUGAUUUCCAAGUUGGCACAUUACAAAGAAACAAUAUUGAAUUACACGAUAUGGAACAGUUGCCUGUUGGGACAGAUAAGUCGAGAAAAAGGAAAAGAAAUGAACAAAAUUGGAAUAGGAAUGUUGCAAAAUUAAAAAAACAACGUGGCGAGGCAUACAUAUCCUCAAGAGGCAAACACGUUCCGAGGGUAGCAAUGAAAGAUCCAUGUUUAGCUACCUGCAAAAGACAAUGCAGUGAAGUUUUCUCUUAUGAUGAACAAUUGUCGAUUUUUCGGAGAUAUUUUAACGAUGUUUAUCAAUACCCUAGGAAUUAGAAAGGGAGUUGUGGAUAUUGCGAUGAAAGCGAGAACUGAACAAAACACAACUUUGGAAGACAAGCGCGGAAAUUUUUAAAAAAAGGUCACGACUCCUGAAAUAAUGAAUAGUGUUAAAAGUCAUAUUGAGAAGUUUCCAGUAGUCGGCUCACACUAUUGUCGUUCAAAAACGCAACGUACCUAAAUAUUUGGCCUCUGAAACAUAACAAUUAUGUACUCUCUUUAUAAAAAAAAUACAAUGAAAAAAAAAACAAACACCAGCUAGCUCUGCCAUUUAUAGAAAGGUGUUCUCAGAGGAGUAUAACCUUGGUUUUUAUCGACCUCGCAAAGAUCAGUGUCAGAUAUGUAUGAUCUACAAUUUUCCUUUAAGUGAUAAACCAUCUAUGCAAAUUGAGUAUUUGGCUCAUAUAGCAGCUAAGGAUAGAGCUCGCGAUGAAAAGCGAUUAAGCACACAGUUGGCGGAAAAAAAAUGCAACAAGUGCUUCUGGUGCCAAAUGAUCCAACUAAUAAUGCUUUAUUUUAUAAGCAAUUUAUAAAAUAAAGCAUUUAAAGUAUUUAACAUUACCAUUCUCUCUCCAAACAAGGUGAUUGCUUUAUGUGGACAGAAGUUGAAGGCAAACGAGGUAGCUGUGAGAUUGCGACCUGUUUAUAUAAAUAUUUUGAAUCUUUGCCAGAAACUACAAAUCAGGUUCAGUGUUUUAGUGACAGAUGUGGUGGACAAAAUUUAAACAAAUUUGUAUCUGGCAUGUACUUAACAGCCGCGCGUUCAAAAUAUUGCACAUUUAGAAACGAACUCAACUUCUUAGUGUCGGGACAUAGUAAAAUGGAAUGCGAUUCCAUGCACUCUGCCAUUUCAACAGAAUUUAAAAGAGUAGGCAAAACUUAUUUACCACAAGACUGGAAAACAAUAGCUAGAUGUUCCCGAAGAAAGGGUAAUAAACCUUACAUCGUUCAUGAUGUUACACAUGAACAAAUAUUUGAUUGGAAAAUCAUGCAGAUAAAGUUUUAAUUUUCAGAACCAAGGACGAAAGUGGAAAACAAGUUGCCUGGCAGAAAAUGUAUUGUAUGCGCUUUUCUAAAUCAGAACCUUUUAUAUUAAAAUUCAAAGAAAAAUUCAAUGAAGAAUUUAGGAGUUUAAACUGCAAAAGGAAAACAAAACCAUCUCAAAUUAAUAGAAAAAUGCCCAAGUCUUUGUAUAAAAGCAGAUCACCUAUAACUAAGGAAAAAUACAUUGAUCUUUUGUCAUUAUUUAACACUAAACCUCCCACAAUUCCCAUUGAAAAUAAACCUUUUUUUGAAAACCUUCCAUUUAAGCAAACAGAAGAAGUUGUACCUGAAUCAGAUUUAAGUGACAGUAAGUGACGAAGUAUAGUAUUUAAGUAAUCAUGAGUUAUGUAUUUGGGUUUUUUUACAUUUGACAGAAAUGUAAGUAUUAAUAAAAGUAUUUUUGAUA
Anthonomus grandis grandis is the source of this 2255-nucleotide long non-coding RNA. RefSeq lists it as uncharacterized. NCBI's taxonomy places the organism in Eukaryota, Metazoa, Arthropoda, Insecta, Coleoptera, Curculionidae. The record is from RefSeq and is a predicted model, not a curated record. The transcript has 4 exons.